GGCGUAGGUGGGAAUGUAAGUCAGAUGUGAAAGCCCGGGGCUCAACCCCGGAACAGCAUCUGAAACUGCUUUUCUAGAGGGUAGGCGGAGAAAACGGAAUUCCACAUGUAGCGGUGAAAUGCGUAGAUAUGUGGAAGAACACCCGUGGCGAAAGCGGUUUUCUAGCUUAUUCCUGACACUCAAGCCCGAAAGCAAGGGGAGCGAACAGGAUUAGAUACCCUGGUAGUCC
This 229-nucleotide ribosomal RNA is filed under the name uncultured bacterium. Its description in RNAcentral is "partial 16S ribosomal RNA". It matches the Rfam family "Bacterial small subunit ribosomal RNA", at positions 568 to 796 of the family's 1533-position model. The record is from RNAcentral.